Momordica charantia (bitter melon) is the source of this 2244-nucleotide long non-coding RNA. RefSeq lists it as uncharacterized. The record is from RefSeq and is a predicted model, not a curated record. Lineage: Eukaryota; Viridiplantae; Streptophyta; Magnoliopsida; Cucurbitales; Cucurbitaceae.
CCAAGUUAUUUCCUUCCCUCCCAAAACUUCCCAAAUGAAUUUCCCUCCCACUCCAAACAAUCAAACCCUUGUCUUCUCCUCUCUCUUUUGGGUCGUAGUUUCUCUUCUCCUCUACACUGUAUCUCCUCUCUCUUGGUAGCGUGCGACAACGAGCAACGACGAACCCAAGAGCAUUCGUUUGUGCGGUGAACUUCAACGGGCGUUUUACUGAGCGAUUGUUUGAGCGGUGAUUCUUCUGUGCUUCGUCCUUCACAUUUUUCCUUUGGCAAACGCUGAACAUUUUCUGAUGUUUGGAAUGAUUCAAAUGCUAAUUGCAUAUCAUGGAACGUGUAUCAUCCAUUGUCAUCUCGAGAACAAACUUCCUUUUUAUUCUUCAUUUGGUUGUGCAAGAGAAGUUCUAAGGUUCACCAAUGUUCAAAGACUUCAAGAGAAGGUUACGUAGCGACUUGAAGAAGAUUAUGGAAAGUCGAAUCCUUGCUUCUGAAACUAGACUAGGAGGGAAAGCAAAGGUGAUAAUUGUUAUAUGGCCAUUAUUUUGAUCUGAUUGUGAGAUUAUAUGUUUUUUUUAACUUAACCCAAAUCAGAAAUUACUGAAAAGUGAUUCCCAUGUAGUUGUAUUUUUUUUUUCCUGAUUUUGUUACAUCCAAUCUGGAAUUUGUUAUAGUUUACAAGAAUGGUUCAAUGGAGAGUUUGUUAGUUUAGCCCAAUUGGUUACUAUGGUAUGGUUUGUUAAAUUUUAAACCAUUUUUUGUGGACAAGUGUCCUACAUAAUCUUGGUAGAGUAAAUUGUCUUAUUCUAAAUUUACGCCUUACUCAUGCCCAAACAAAGCCCGAUCUGUGAUACCCACACCUUUUUGUCAUCAAAUCUACAAGUCUCAACACUUUCGCCAUCGUUUCAGCAAGGUUUAGUGGGUAAUGACCCUUUGAACACCAUUUUAGAUUCAACUUUAGUAGCCAAAACUGAGUUGUAACAUGUUGAUUUUACCUUGUUGCCUAGGUUUCAAUCCGACUCAAGAAGUUAGGAGCGUUUAGUAUGAAUGACAUGUUUUAAUCUAUGUUUUUUAUCUCUUAAUGCGCGUUGGAUAUUGUUGCUAGAUGUUUCUUUAUGAAUGUUGGAUGUUCUGGAUGGAUAUGAUUGAUUCUAGUUGUUUAUAAUUGUUUGAUUAUGCUCUGUUAUGACUACAGUCACUGUAAAGCAUUAUAUUUUUCUCGUCAAGUAUAUAUGCAUUACAGUUUGAAUGAAAAUAAAUAGUUAUUGUUUUGUCUAAAUGUUUUCUUUUUGGCAAUACAAAUUAGCAAAAUGAUGAUAUUCAGGUGACUCAAUCAAAGAUGAUCAAUGAAGCACAGUGGCAAUGACUAAACAAAUGGCUAUUUAUAACUAACUUCUUUAAUGUUAAGAACUUUUCUGUUAUGCUUGCUAAUUGUUGGAACUAUUUGCUUGUUUAUGGUUGUGAUAUUUGAUGAUUUGAUCUCCAAAUAGCUAACGAUUUGAACUAAUUUUUUGUGUAUAAGUGUAAAUGUUGGGCUUUAGCUAGAUUUUUCUCGAGACCUUGUUUGUUAAAAAUCUCGAAUCAAAACUUAUAUUUAUGUGUAAUAUUUUUCAUUAAACUUAAUUAUAAUUGAGUUUUUGUAGUUGUGGAGUUUGCAUUAUAUCGAGUUCCAGUUCUUCCAUCUGGAGUCUUUUCCUUUGACCUUGGUUUUUCGUAUUUUGCAUAAUGGUCACCAGUGGAAAGUCCUAAGUUCCAAAGAAGGUUAAGUGACUAGGUCUUUUCUUGUUGUUAUUUUUGCUUUCUUGACUUCAGGAAUUUCUCUUCUGCUUAGGUAGAAAUUGGUAUCAUUACAAAAUAACAACUUCUUAUUAAUUAGUAUGACCAAAGUUCGUUAAUCUAUAUAUUUUUUCAUGCUUAUAUUUGACUGCUUCCAUGUUGAGUUCCUCUUGUGGAAUUCAAAUUUUACCAUUUUAACUCUAUGGUAAAUAGUGUGUCUAUUAUAAUAUUGAAUAAUUAUAUGUUGAGUUUCUAUUGUGGUUUUCGACUGAACUGAAAUGUUCUUCCGUAAUGGUUAAAUUACAAUCCGAGAAGUUAAUUUCUUAUUUUAGUUCUUUUCUUGAUCCUCAACAAGAGCUUAUGAUCUUACAGCUCUCAAGUAUCAGGGACCCUGCAAUCAUUUAAACUUCUCGAUAUGAUAUGAUUAUGGUGUUAUCGACCUAUUUUUCGAUCUUCAAAUUCAUUAUGAUAAUGUUCU